Molecule: transfer RNA, 73 nt
Filed under: Myotis davidii
Lineage: Eukaryota; Metazoa; Chordata; Mammalia; Chiroptera; Vespertilionidae
Rfam family: tRNA
About the family: Transfer RNA (tRNA) molecules are approximately 80 nucleotides in length. Their secondary structure includes four short double-helical elements and three loops (D, anti-codon, and T loops).
Source: Rfam by way of RNAcentral
GCCUGUGUGGCUCAGUGGAUAGAGCAUCAGGCCGGGGCCUGAAGGGUUGCGGGUUCGAUUCCGAUCAAGGGCA